Molecule: long non-coding RNA, 507 nt
Organism: Ictalurus punctatus (channel catfish)
Lineage: Eukaryota; Metazoa; Chordata; Actinopteri; Siluriformes; Ictaluridae
Source: Ensembl
AUUCGAGAAGGCAUCCUGAUUGAGAGGUCGUCCCGAUCGAGAGGUCGUCCCGAUCGAGAGGUCGUCCCGAUCGAGAGGUCGUCCCGAUCGAGAAGGCGUCCCGAUCAAGAAGGCGUCCUGAUCGAGAAGUCGUCCUGAUCGAGAAGGCGUCCUGAUCGAGAAGGCGUCCUGAUCGAGAAGGCGUCCUGAUCGAGAAGUCGUCCCGAUCGAGAGGUCGUCCCGAUCGAGAGGUCGUCCCGAUCGAGAGGUCGUCCUGAUCAAACAGCCCACCGACAGCUUGAGUAGUUUAAAACAGCAGCUAAUAACUGUUGCUAUUUUUUGUGCUAUUUUAUGUCCAUGAUUAGAAGAAUUAUAUUCCACACCCCAGACAGUCUGAACUGAAGCGCACCGGACCCUGAGCCCGAGUGACCCUGAACAGGACUCACUGAGAAAUUACCGACUCAGCUGACCCUCUGAACAGAAGACGAGCAAGUCGUCAUGCGUGGUACUGACCGCUGGGGAUUUUUU